RNAcentral lists this ribosomal RNA (465 nucleotides) under Vreelandella stevensii. Its description in RNAcentral is "partial 16S ribosomal RNA". It matches the Rfam family "Bacterial small subunit ribosomal RNA", at positions 338 to 795 of the family's 1533-position model. The record is from RNAcentral. Lineage: Bacteria; Pseudomonadati; Pseudomonadota; Gammaproteobacteria; Oceanospirillales; Halomonadaceae.
CCUACGGGUGGCAGCAGUGGGGAAUAUUGGACAAUGGGGGCAACCCUGAUCCAGCCAUGCCGCGUGUGUGAAGAAGGCCCUCGGGUUGUAAAGCACUUUCAGUGAGGAAGAACGCCUGGUGGUUAAUACCCAUCAGGAAAGACAUCACUCACAGAAGAAGCACCGGCUAACUCCGUGCCAGCAGCCGCGGUAAUACGGAGGGUGCGAGCGUUAAUCGGAAUUACUGGGCGUAAAGCGCGCGUAGGUGGCUUGAUAAGCCGGUUGUGAAAGCCCCGGGCUCAACCUGGGAACGGCAUCCGGAACUGUCAAGCUGGAGUGCAGGAGAGGAAGGUAGAAUUCCCGGUGUAGCGGUGAAAUGCGUAGAGAUCGGGAGGAAUACCAGUGGCGAAGGCGGCCUUCUGGACUGACACUGACACUGAGGUGCGAAAGCGUGGGUAGCAAACAGGAUUAGAUACCCGGGUAGUC